CCCUUAGAUGUUCUGGGCCGCACGCGCGCUACAAUGAUGAAUUCAACGAGUUUAUAACCUUGGUUGAAAAGCCUGGGUAAUCUUUUGAACUUUCGUCGUGAUGGGGCUAGACCCUUGCAAUUAUUGGUCUCCAACGAGGAAUUCCUAGUAAACGCAAGUCAUCAGCUUGCAUUGAUUACGUCCCUGCCCUUUGUACACACCGCCCGUCGCUACUACCGAUUGAAUGGUUUAGUGAGGACUCCUGAUUGGCGCCGCCGCCCCGGCAACGGAGCAGCGGACUGCCGAAAAGUUGUUCAAACUUGAUCAUUUAGAGGAAGUAAAAGUCGUAACA
Molecule: ribosomal RNA, 331 nt
Filed under: uncultured eukaryote
Lineage: Eukaryota
Description: partial 18S ribosomal RNA
Rfam family: Eukaryotic small subunit ribosomal RNA
Source: RNAcentral